This 518-nucleotide small RNA is filed under the name Pongo abelii (Sumatran orangutan). Its description in RNAcentral is "retained intron". The record is from RNAcentral. Lineage: Eukaryota; Metazoa; Chordata; Mammalia; Primates; Hominidae.
AUCAGACCCUGACGAAGCCAAGUUGGCAGAAGACAUCCUGAACACCAUGUUUGACACCUCCUACAGCAAGCAGGUUAUCAACGAAGGCGAGGAGCCUGAGAACUUCUUCUGGGUGGGCAUUGGGGCACAGAAGCCCUAUGAUGACGAUGCCGAGUACAUGAAACACACACGGCUCUUCCGGUGCUCCAAUGAGAAGGGCUACUUUGCAGUGACUGAGAAAUGCUCUGACUUUUGCCAAGAUGACCUGGCAGAUGAUGACAUCAUGUUGCUAGACAACGGCCAAGAGGUGUGAUGUUGCCACUAGCCCUGCCCAUCCGAGGAGGCGCCCAUAGUCUUGUAAAUGGAAAUUCUCGGGCCAGGAGCAAGGGGCUGUUCCCAGGCACCCAUGCAAUGAUAUCUCCCCUGCUUCCCCCACAGGUCUACAUGUGGGUGGGGACCCAGACUAGCCAGGUGGAGAUCAAGCUGAGCCUGAAGGCCUGCCAGGUAUAUAUCCAGCACAUACGGUCCAAGGAACAUGA